UCUGGGUCCUGCGGGCUCCGCUAGAGUGACCCUGGCACCUCGCGUCCCUCAGAACUGUGCAUCCGGAUUUUCCGCGUGACACCCAGGUCUCCGUACCUUUGGGCACCCACCCUCGGGGGCACAGUCCUGCCACCCAGACCGGGCUCUGUCCAAGGUGCUGCCGGACGGGCCCGGCCUACAUCCGGUCCUUCUCUGCAUUCCAGGCAGCUCCACCAAAGUCUGCGUGCAACGCCCUUCAUUUGCAUGGACACACGCAACCCUCGGCGCCUGUAUGGUCAUUAACAUGCUCCUCCCACCACGGAAGAACUUUCGAGGCCCGUACCAAAGUAGAUCCUUUAUUCAAAAUC
This 347-nucleotide small RNA is filed under the name Pan troglodytes (chimpanzee). RNAcentral describes it as "processed transcript". Lineage: Eukaryota; Metazoa; Chordata; Mammalia; Primates; Hominidae. The record is from RNAcentral.